RNAcentral lists this ribosomal RNA (253 nucleotides) under uncultured bacterium. Its description in RNAcentral is "partial 16S ribosomal RNA". It matches the Rfam family "Bacterial small subunit ribosomal RNA", at positions 524 to 776 of the family's 1533-position model. The record is from RNAcentral.
UGCGUAGGGGGCAAGCGUUGUCCGGAUUUAUUGGGCGUAAAGAGCGUGUAGGCGGCCAGACAAGUCUGCUGUGAAAACUCGAGGCUCAACCUCGAGCUGUCGGUGGAAACUGUCUGGCUAGAGUCCGGAAGAGGAGAGUGGAAUUCCUGGUGUAGCGGUGAAAUGCGCAGAUAUCAGGAAGAACACCUAUGGCGAAGGCAGCUCUCUGGGACGGUACUGACGCUGAGACGCGAAAGCGUGGGGAGCGAACAGG